RNAcentral lists this long non-coding RNA (1692 nucleotides) under Scleropages formosus (Asian bonytongue). Its description in RNAcentral is "lncRNA (ENSSFOG00015030167.1)". The record is from RNAcentral. Lineage: Eukaryota; Metazoa; Chordata; Actinopteri; Osteoglossiformes; Osteoglossidae.
AAAGAAAACUGGGAGAAACUGCCCAAAUCCAGGUGUGCAAAGCUGCUAGAAACAUACCCAAGAAGACUUGAAGCUAUAGCUGAAGAUGAAGCACAAGCUCAGAUUGUCCUACAAAGUACUAUACAAAAGGUUUGAAUCCAUGUGAAAAUUAGAGAUUUCUUUAUUUUUUUAUAAAUUUGCUAAAAUUCCUAAAAAUUUUGCUUCACUUUGCCAUUAUGGGGUAUUGCAUGGCAACUGAUGGCAAAAAAGAAUAAAUUCAAUCAACUUUUUAAAUAAGUCUACAGCACAACAAAGUACGGAGAAACCGGAGGAGUCCGAAUACUUUCUGAAGGCACCGUAUGUCCUGUAUCUCCAAGUUUUCUUUGUUUGGACAGUAAGUGUUGAAUAUUUUGGGGAGUUAUUUUGUUUUCUUCAUUAUAUUUUCUUUUAAAGGUUUACUGUCAGUGGAAUUCUCUCUGUCGGAGUGGGAGGGAUUAACAUCUGGCAGUUUGCACCCCGGGUUGCGGCAAGCCGGAGCCUAUCCCGGAAGGACAGGGCGCAGGGUUGGAGGGAGAACAUCGUGGAUGGGACACUGGUCCAUCGCACGGCACCCCAAGCAGGAUUCGAACCCCAGACCUGCCAACAGCUGGCACUGGCCCAACCCGCUGCGCCAUCACCCCCCCCAACAUAAUAUUCUUUACAUAAAAAUAUAAAUCAUACUCAUUUUUGUUUCAGCAACUUCUGAUUUUGAGUUAAAAUACAUCCCUCUGUGGGUAAAGGAUUAUAUCUCUGGGAUUAAAGUGCCUUAUGCUGAAACAUGGUCACAAACACAUAUGUAUCUACAGAACAAUGUACAGCAGGGUGCUGUAUAGUAAGUCUGUAUCAAGCUGAGCAUGUUACUUCCUUUCACAAACUUUAAAUAUCCAAACAGGUUUAUUUAUUGUAAUGAAAAAGUAAUAAGAGUAAAUGUUAUCAUCUCCAGAUGAUUCAGAUUUGCCUACGCUGCAUAUUCUGAAAAUAAGGUUUCCACAUUGUAAGGCCCUAUUUAAAAUCCCGUUGACAGUGACUUCAGCUUGUUGCCAUAACAUCAUUCCAAGCCCUACUUAAAUCCUCCUACAGUCACUGAGUGAUUUUACUGCUGCAGGUCUUACAAAACUACAAAUGCAAACUUCAAGAAAUCAAAAAUACAUUGAGUUUGUUUGUAUUAAAUAUUUAGCGCUUUAUAGAGACUCCUCACAAAUCAUUCUGACCAUUGUAGUCUCUCAGGCAUUUCUAGGUACAGCAUAAACAGCAUUUAUGGCAUUUUUUCCCUUUCUUUAUUAUUCAUUUAUAACGUUAUGCUGCUGAACAGUUAUGUGACACUGGAGAGUCGCACCGCAGUCCCAUUCUUUUUUUUACACGCCACACUGCAGAAAGACCGUAUUCCCGAACCUUCUUUUGCUAUUUUGCUGAGAUAGAGGUCGGAGAAUGAGUGACAGAUGACAGUGCGCUGAAAGGAAGUGCCGGAAAUUCUUGAAAACCAUUUGCGCAGAAGUAGGACCAGUUGGUGUUUGGAAAUGCAUGAAACAUUUGUUAAAUGUCCCAGAUACGCUCCGAGGCUGUCGAACACAUGCAGCAACUGUGAGGUACGGUUAAGACUUCCGCAGCCAGCUGAGACAAGUCAUGGCGGGGUUAGAGCUUCCUUGACUUGGUGUCCCCUCUGCAGCUGAGAUU